Molecule: non-coding RNA, 616 nt
Organism: Pocillopora verrucosa
Lineage: Eukaryota; Metazoa; Cnidaria; Anthozoa; Scleractinia; Pocilloporidae
Source: RefSeq, a predicted model, not a curated record
UUAGAGGCACAAUCAAUGGACAAGAAAAAGUCGUUAGCCCGUCUUGAUUAUUACGCUGAGGUGGAGAGGGAAAUACAGCUUUCAUCAAAGCCACCUAUUUUCUUGACGCUACCUUCCUUGAUUUGCUGAAAACAAGCGAGGGCGACGUCCUUUCAAAAGUCAAGACAAGAAUGAAAAGAAUAGACGACAGAGAUUAUGUUGUUUUAAUAGCAGGAGAGACCAGUGCAGGCAAAAGCAGCAUAUUGACCCUAAUUCUUGGUGAAGAGCUUUUGCCAUUCCACAGUUCUGAGUACAACAUCUACAAUGUGUGAAUUGAAAUAUGGAAGAGAGGAAAGGGUAAAGAUACACUAUAACGAAGAAGGAAAGGCUCCCGAGAUAUAGUAUCUUAAAGAAUCCUCGCCUUACUUAGAUCAAAUAUCAGAAUUUGUUCAUGUCAAGUCAGCAAGUUUAAGAGAAAAGACAUCAAACUAACUUGGUCUAACAGAUUAUUACAGGAUGGUUUUGUGAUCGUUGACAGCCCUGAAGUCGGGGAGUCAGAUAUUAUGGACGACAUUGUUGUGAACUACUUACCAAAUGCCUUUGCUUUCAUCUAUGUCAUCAAAAGCAGCAAUGCCGG